This is a long non-coding RNA of Papaver somniferum (opium poppy), 189 nucleotides long. RefSeq lists it as uncharacterized. The record is from RefSeq and is a predicted model, not a curated record. Lineage: Eukaryota; Viridiplantae; Streptophyta; Magnoliopsida; Ranunculales; Papaveraceae. The transcript is spliced from 3 exons.
GCUUCUGGUUACACGGUUUUUAUCCUUCGUUAUUAUGGCUCGUGUUCUGGCUUGGGACAUCCAGCUGCAUGGCAAAACAGUGUUUCUGUACUACACCAAGUGGACCUUUGCAUUAGUCGUCUUCUAUUUCGCGCUUGGCACAAUAGCAUCGGCACAAGGAUGUUUGGUGAACUCGAGGAAACCUGUCAA